Molecule: ribosomal RNA, 527 nt
Filed under: uncultured bacterium
Lineage: Bacteria
Description: bacterial SSU rRNA
Rfam family: Bacterial small subunit ribosomal RNA
Source: RNAcentral
AGUAAAUAGAUACCCGGGUAGUCCACGCCGUAAACGAUGUCGACUUGGAGGUUGUGCCCUUGAGGCGUGGCUUCCGGAGCUAAACGCGUUAAAGUCGACCGCCUGGGGAGUACGGCCGCAAGGUUAAAACUCAAAUGAAUUGACGGGGGCCCGCACAAGCGGUGGAGCAUGUGGUUUAAUUCGAUGCAACGCGAAGAACCUUACCUACUCUUGACAUCCAGAGAACUUAGCAGAGAUGCUUUGGUGCCUUCGGGAACUCUGAGACAGGUGCUGCAUGGCUGUCGUCAGCUCGUGUUGUGAAAUGUUGGGUUAAGUCCCGCAACGAGCGCAACCCUUAUCCUUUGUUGCCAGCGGUCCGGCCGGGAACUCAAAGGAGACUGCCAGUGAUAAACCUGGAGGAAGGUGGGGAUGACGUCAAGUCAUCAUGGCCCUUACGAGUAGGGCUACACACGUGCUACAAUGGCGCAUACAAAGAGAAGCGACCUCGCGAGAGCAAGCGGACCUCAUAAACGUGCGUCGUAGUCCGG